GAUGAACGCUGACAGAAUGCUUAACACAUGCAAGUCUACUUGAAUUUGGGUCUUUGACUUAGAUUUGGGUGGCGGACGGGUGAGUAACGCGUAAAGAACUUGCCUCACAGUUAGGGACAACAUUUGGAAACGAAUGCUAAUACCUGAUAUUAUGAUUAUACGGCAUCGUAUAAUUAUGAAAGCUAUAUGCGCUGUGAGAGAGCUUUGCGUCCCAUUAGCUAGUUGGAGAGGUAACGGCUCACCAAGGCGAUGAUGGGUAGCCGGCCUGAGAGGGUGAACGGCCACAAGGGGACUGAGACACGGCCCUUACUCCUACGGGAGGCAGCAGUGGGGAAUAUUGGACAAUGGACCAAAAGUCUGAUCCAGCAAUUCUGUGUGCACGAUGACGUUUUUCGGAAUGUAAAGUGCUUUCAGUUGGGAAGAAAAAAAUGACGGUACCAACAGAAGAA
Molecule: ribosomal RNA, 449 nt
Filed under: Fusobacterium sp. oral taxon 370
Lineage: Bacteria; Fusobacteriati; Fusobacteriota; Fusobacteriia; Fusobacteriales; Fusobacteriaceae
Description: bacterial SSU rRNA
Rfam family: Bacterial small subunit ribosomal RNA
Source: RNAcentral